Molecule: ribosomal RNA, 648 nt
Filed under: Triticum aestivum (bread wheat)
Lineage: Eukaryota; Viridiplantae; Streptophyta; Magnoliopsida; Poales; Poaceae
Description: partial small subunit ribosomal RNA
Source: RNAcentral
AUGGCUUCAGGUGCAGCCGCUCUCACUCUGAGGCUGGCCGCCGUCGCUGCCGUCCUCGCCCUGCUGGUCAUACCCUCCUUGGCACGCUGUCCGUCCCUUGGUCCAGCACCACCACCAUCACCACCGGCGCAGCCGCCGCCACCACCACUAGAGGCGAUACCACCACCACCACCGGCACAGGCGCCACCGCCACCACCGGAGGCGAUACCACCACCACCGCCGCCGCAGGCGCCGCCACCACCACUAGAGGCGAUACCACCACCACCACCGGAGGCGACACCACCGCCACCACCGGAGGCGAUACCGCCAGCGCCCGUGCCGGAUCCACCUCGGCCAUGCAAUAUCUGUAGCAGAGAGUGCUACCCGGCGUGCACAGCGGCCAAAGCCGCUCUGCCAGAUUCCAAGGCCUGCGACGAGAAAUGCCGCAACGAGAAGAGCCGCUGCGACAAGUGCACGAUCCCGAAGAUCGAGGAGUGCACGGCCAAGUGCAACGGCAGCUGUGACUGCCACACCGAAGUCUACAAGUCAUGCAGCGACGACUGCCUCUUCCCAGAAUGCAGCCCCUGCAUGACCAUCCGUCAAUUUCAAAUGAAGGAUUGCAGGCACCAGUGCAACAUCGACUACUGCAACGGCAAUAAGUGCUGGUGA